GGCAAAGAAGAAAAAUAUCAGGGUAUUUACCAUGCCUUACAAGUCAGUGAUUUGAUUAACCCUCGUGACUAAUACUUGGAAGAUGGACAUGAUAAAUUCACUAAUUGAUAUAGAAAACUUGGGAUGCACCAUUGAGCCAAAACAUGUUCUCAAUGGACCGAAUGUUAACCGCUAAUGGCCUUUGCAUGUAAUAGGGCUGGGUAUAAAAUCCUAAACCUGUGGUCCGAACCAAA
Molecule: long non-coding RNA, 233 nt
Filed under: Brassica napus (rape)
Lineage: Eukaryota; Viridiplantae; Streptophyta; Magnoliopsida; Brassicales; Brassicaceae
Description: long non-coding RNA (BNAP_LNC005736)
Source: RNAcentral